RNAcentral lists this unclassified non-coding RNA (374 nucleotides) under uncultured bacterium. Its description in RNAcentral is "contains 16S-23S intergenic spacer region". The record is from RNAcentral.
UCCGGUUUGUCACCGGCAGUCUCCCUAGAGUGCCCUUGCGUAGCAACUAGGGACAAGGGUUGCGCUCGUUGCGGGACUUAACCCAACAUCUCACGACACGAGCUGACGACAGCCAUGCAGCACCUGUGUGUAGGUCCCGUAAGGGAAGGAAUCCAUCUCUGGAAACCGUCCUACCAUGUCAAACGCUGGUAAGGUUCUGCGCGUUGCUUCGAAUUAAGCCACAUACUCCACCGCUUGUGCAGGCCCCCGUCAAUUUCUUUGAGUUUUAAUCUUGCGACCGUACUUCCCAGGCGGCUUGCUUAUCGCGUUGGCUUCGCCACAAAAGGGGUCGAUUCCUUUUACAGCAAAUAAGCACCGUUUACGGCUAGGACUAC